UAGGGAAUCUUCCACAAUGGGCGAAAGCCUGAUGGAGCAACGCCGCGUGUGUGAUGAAGGCUUUAGGGUCGUAAAGCACUGUUGUAUGGGAAGAAAUGCCAGAAUAGGGAAUGAUUCUAGUUCGACGGUACCAUACCAGAAAGGGACGGCUAAAUACGUGCCAGCAGCCGCGGUAAUACGUAUGUCCCGAGCGUUAUCCGGAUUUAUUGGGCGUAAAGCGAGCGCAGACGGUUGAUUAAGUCUGAUGUGAAAGCCCGGAGCUCAACUCCGGAAUGGCAUUGGAAACUGGUUAACUUGAGUGUUGUAGAGGUAAGUGGAACUCCAUGUGUGGCGGUGGAAUGCGUAGAUAUAUGGAAGAACACCAGUGGCGAAGGCGGCUUACUGGACAACAACUGACGUUGAGGCUCGAAAGUGUGGGUAGCAAACAGGAUUAGAUACCCUGGUAGUCCACACCGUAAACGAUGAAUACUAGGUGUUAGGAGGUUUCCGCCUCUUAGUGCCGAAGCUAACGCAUUAAGUAUUCCGCCUGGGGAGUACNGACCGCAAGGUUG
This 551-nucleotide ribosomal RNA is filed under the name uncultured bacterium. RNAcentral describes it as "bacterial SSU rRNA". It matches the Rfam family "Bacterial small subunit ribosomal RNA", at positions 355 to 896 of the family's 1533-position model. The record is from RNAcentral.